CAAAAGAGAAGCCAAAGAAAUACCCGUGACCCGACCCGACCAUGAGAUGUCAAGUGUCAACCCCUCCCUUGUUUCAGCCUACGGCUCCUUCGGGAGAGCGGCGGCGACCCUGACGUUGUUCGUUGAAGUGGAUCACAGUCCAUCGAUACACUCAUUGAACCUGGUUCAGGUCAUGAAAAGAACAAGGUCCGCCUUAUCCUCAAGAAUCUCUCCAUCCUCCAAAUCGCCACCACUUCCUUCGACGCCUCCAACCCCACAAACACUGCACAAAACCUGCCACCCAAAGCCCACAUCCGUGUCCUCGUGCUAUCGCUCCAGAAAACCAAAACGCAUCGUCGAUUCGCUCAACGGGUUUUCGAAAUCCGACCCUGUGAGGUGGGUCCCGCUCAAUCUUGCUCAGCAAGAGCUCUGCUUGCCUCUCACUUUUCCCACUGGCCAAACCUUCCGAUGGAAGAAGACGGGACCUUUGCAGUACACUGGAGUUGUUGGAUCUCACCUCAUAUCUCUCAAGCACGUCGAAAACGGCGACGUUUGUUAUUGCCUUCACCGCACGGACUCUGAGAUUGAUGGUAGGACUGCUUUGCUUGACUUUCUCAAUGCCCGUGUUUCUCUCACUGACGUAUGGAAGGAGUUUUCCGCUUCGGAUGCCAGGUUUGCGGAGUUAGCGUGCCAUUUGGGGGGUGCCCGAGUGCUUAGACAGGACCCGCUUGAGUGUCUGAUUCAGUUUCUGUGUUCUUCUAAUAACAAUAUUCAAAGGAUUACCAAAAUGGUGGAUUAUAUUUCAUGUUUGGGAAAUUAUUUGGGGACAGUUGGAGGUUUUGAAUUCCAUACUUUCCCCACUAUGGAGCAGCUGUCGUUGAUUUCAGAGGAGGAACUUAGAAAGGCCGGUUUUGGUUACAGGGCCAAAUAUAUAAUUGGCACAGUAAAUUCUUUGCAAGCAAAACCUGAUGGAGGGGAAGAAUGGCUUAAAUCUCUUCGUAUGUUGGAUCUUCAAGAAGUUAUAGACGCCCUUUGUUCAUUACCUGGAGUGGGUCCUAAGGUGGCUGCUUGCAUAGCCCUCUUUUCACUUGAUCAACAUCAUGCCAUUCCUGUUGACACACAUGUAUGGCAGAUUGCAACAAAAUACCUCUUACCCGAUCUUGCAGGUUCCCGAUUGACUCCAAAGCUUAGCGGUCGUGUUGCAGAGGCAUUCGUAAGCAAAUAUGGUAAAUAUGCUGGAUGGGCUCAAACUGUGCUCUUCAUAGCUGAAUUACCUUCACAAAAAGUCCUCCUACCUCCUCAAUUACGUACUGUUGAACAGAGCAAGCAUACAGUGGAAGACUGUGAAAUAGAAAUUGUGUGAGAUCUACAGACGGUACAGCUCUCUGGGUAUAAAUGCAAGAGACUUGAGGAAAGGCAAGCUACCUCCAGUAAUGUACGAGAUAGAACAUGAGGAUGUUACUCUGCUGGGUGGAGUACCAUGUGUUCAAACAGUGUCCGAUCAGCUAAAUGCAGUAUGAAUCGAUAGGCAACGUUAAUGAAUCCUUUGCUUCGGGCUUCGGCAAACUGUUUAGCUCUCAAGCUGAUUUCCCUUCUGGAAAGUCUUGCAGUUCAGUCUGGGACUCACACGGAAUCUCCUGUGUUACAUAGAAAAUUUUUGCAUUGCCAAUUUGCUGAAGCUGGCCUUGGUAUUCGUUCUGCUUUACGUUGGUGAGUGUUUUUGUUUUUCUCUUUACACUGCUAUAAUAUUAUUUUAUUUCCAUGUGACCCCAAAUUUGUUUAAAUUGACAGAAAAUGAGCACAUCAUGUUCUUGUUUCUGUCGCUUUUUUUGUUCCCUUCUGGCAGUUGUGUUAUUCAUUUACCAAUCGCAUAGACUGGGCAUAUGUGCAUGCGUUGGGUAGAUCAUUUGCAGAUCCACUUGGGCAUGCGUCGCUUUUUGGUUCCACCUUUGGGAGUAUUCUUGCACCUUUUUGUUUUGUUUUGUUUUGUUUUGUUUUGUUUGAAGCAAAGCAACCUCAAACGGAGAAGAAGAUUCACGGAAAGGGAAAGGUUUUACAGGACGAGUGAACAAGAUUACAGUGACAAAAGCCUUUCAUGCUAUGCUUUGGGACCAAGGCUUUCAUGUAGGAGGAAGAAUUAUAAAACCUCCCACUUAAGAAACUCCUUGAGGCCUAGAAACCGUCACGCACGACUUCUGAUCAAUGGAGAUGUUAGCUAUAAUAUGAUAAAAGGAAUCGCCUUGGUAAGAAAUUCAGUGACGAGAGCAUUAAUGCUCUGAGGCGUGCCCAUCAUUACAGCACAGUUCAUGACGUUGAGGUUGUUCGGACAUCCAAGUUUCUGAGCAAAAGGCCUCAGAACUAAGAAGAGAGAAACUCAAAGGCACAAUAAGUACUGAGAUUUUUCAAGAUCCUAAUGAGAAUUGUAAUCUGUCAAUGUCAUGAAUAUAAACCAAGAAUCAUGGGGACAUAAGUACUUUGAUUGACAGAAUCUCAACCAAAUCUAGAGCACGUACUGUUAAGAUAUUCCUUUCGUUUUUGGGUCCAUACUAUAUCACUAACCUCCAAAUCGGCCUGACACGCAUCUCGUCACUUGCAACUUGCAAAAGGCCGCUUCUUGUGUUAGAUCAUCGGCCCAUAAACACUUGGUCGCUGUUUCUUUGGAGGCCGUCCGGAUGCAACUUACAUGCAAAGGCCUACCUUCGGUGCUGUACUGUCAGCAAUCUACUAUCCAACGUAGGCACAGCAAAACUUCAUGUGUACAGUGAAAGCAAUACUCAGUUCAAUCACUAUACGAUAAUAAUAGACGCAGCAUGUCAGAUGAACAGUCGACUCACGUGGCCAUGAAAAACAAGAAAAAAAGAAAAACUAUAUAGAGUUUUCAGUCACUUGUAUCAUAGUCCGUGAAUUUAAACAACUGUGAUACUACUUAG
Prosopis cineraria is the source of this 2909-nucleotide RNA transcript. It is a transcript of the gene named N-glycosylase/DNA lyase OGG1, with no coding region annotated. Lineage: Eukaryota; Viridiplantae; Streptophyta; Magnoliopsida; Fabales; Fabaceae. The record is from RefSeq and is a predicted model, not a curated record. The transcript has 6 exons.